This 210-nucleotide long non-coding RNA is filed under the name Musa acuminata (dwarf banana). RNAcentral's name for it is "long non-coding RNA (MACU_LNC005258)". The record is from RNAcentral. Lineage: Eukaryota; Viridiplantae; Streptophyta; Magnoliopsida; Zingiberales; Musaceae.
CCUCGUAGGUCUGAGGAUCAAUAUCCUCAACAUCCUCUCCUCUAAUAUGUCCCACAUAUCUCUCAGGAGGAUAGGAUACUCUAUCAGACCUACGUAAAGUUGAAACUUGUGUAUUAGGUACCUGAACAGACUCGGACUGUAGAGUGGUGCUUGAACUUGGUUCUCCAACCUCACUCAACUCUAUCAUUCUCCCAAUAUCACCGCCAAGAA